Molecule: ribosomal RNA, 301 nt
Filed under: uncultured bacterium
Lineage: Bacteria
Description: partial 16S ribosomal RNA
Rfam family: Bacterial small subunit ribosomal RNA
Source: RNAcentral
CAGCCGCCGCGGUAAUACGUAGGUGGCAAGCGUUGUUCGGAAUUAUUGGGCGUAAAGGGCUCGCAGGCGGUCUCUUAAGUCUGAUGUGAAAGCCCCCGGCUCAACCGGGGAGGGCCAUUGGAAACUGGGAAACUUGAGUGCAGAAGAGGAGAGUGGAAUUCCACGUGUAGCGGUGAAAUGCGUAGAGAUGUGGAGGAACACCAGUGGCGAAGGCGACUCUCUGGUCUGUAACUGACGCUGAGGAGCGAAAGCGUGGGGAGCGAACAGGAUUAGAUACCCCGGUAGUCCCUGUCUCUUAUAC